CCAAUAGCGUAUAUUAAAGUUGUUGCAGUUAAAAAGCUCGUAGUUGAAUUUCGGGAUCAAUAUGUCGGUCGUGCCUUCGGUACGUACUGGCAUCAUUGGUUUCUCCCUUCUGACAAACCAUGAUGUCAUUAAUUUGGUGUUAUGGGGAGUUAGGACUGUUACUUUGAAAAAAUUAGAGUGUUUAAAGCAAGCUAACGCUUGAAUACAUUAGCAUGGAAUAAUGAAAUAGGACGUUCGAUCCUAUUUUGUUGGUUUCUAGGAUUGACGUAAUGAUUAAUAGGGAUAGUUGGGGGCAUUAGUAUUCAAUUGUCAGAGGUGAAAUUCUUGGAUUUAUUGAAGACUAACUACUGCGAAAGCAUUUGCCAAGGAUGUUUUCAUUAAUCAAGAACGAAAGUUAGGGGAUCGAAGACGAUCAGAUACCGUCGUAGUCUUAACCAUAAACUAUGCCGACUAGGGAUCGGAUGAUGUUAAUUUUUUAAUGACUCAUUCGGCGCCUUACG
This 500-nucleotide ribosomal RNA is filed under the name uncultured Glomeromycotina. RNAcentral describes it as "SSU rRNA". It matches the Rfam family "Eukaryotic small subunit ribosomal RNA", at positions 591 to 1092 of the family's 1831-position model. The record is from RNAcentral. Lineage: Eukaryota; Fungi; Glomeromycota.